UACGUAGGGCGCAAGCGUUGUCCGGAAUUAUUGGGCGUAAAGAGCUCGUAGGCGGCUUAGUAAGUCGGGUGUGAAAACCCCAGGCUCAACCUGGGGACGCCACCCGAUACUGCUAUAGCUAGAGUCCAGUAGGGGAGUGUGGAAUUCCCAGUGUAGCGGUGAAAUGCGCAGAUAUUGGGAGGAACACCAGCGGCGAAGGCGGCACUCUGGGCUGGUACUGACGCUGAGGAGCGAAAGCGUGGGUAGCGAACAGG
Molecule: ribosomal RNA, 254 nt
Filed under: uncultured bacterium
Lineage: Bacteria
Description: partial 16S ribosomal RNA
Rfam family: Bacterial small subunit ribosomal RNA
Source: RNAcentral